CACGGGGGGAGCAAGCGUUGUUCGGAAUCACUGGGCGUAAAGGGCGUGUAGGCGGUCAGAUAAGUGGAAUGUGAAAUGCCCCGGCUCACCCGGGGACCGGCAUCCCAAACUGUCUGGCUUGAGUAUGGGAGAGGAUGAGGGAAUUCCUGGUGUAGCGGUGAAAUGCGUAGAUAUCAGGAGGAACACCGGUGGCGAAGGCGGCUCUCUGGGACGGUACUGACGCUGAGACGCGAAAGCGUGGGGAGCGAACAGG
RNAcentral lists this ribosomal RNA (253 nucleotides) under uncultured bacterium. Its description in RNAcentral is "partial 16S ribosomal RNA". It matches the Rfam family "Bacterial small subunit ribosomal RNA", at positions 524 to 776 of the family's 1533-position model. The record is from RNAcentral.